AAGGGUUCAAGGGCUGCCUCCUGAGUUGGCAAGAGAACCAGGGUUGUGGGAUAUCGUGAGCCUAGUUCUUGGGGAAGCUGGAAGGAUGCUUGGUUGCCCGGCGACAACGCUGCCUCACGGCAGCCCUUGGUUUCCCACAGCCCUGGAUGCAUCUCAUUGAAAGGAAAGAGGGGCGGCUGGCUGACACGUUUCCUGAAGUGGCAUUUUCCAUGCCCCCAGUCUUGGUAUCCUGUUGGUGCCCAGCGACCUCUGGAUAUAUUAGGCAGCUUUAAAUUAUAAUUAAAAUCAUAACUGUGGUCCUAAAACAAUAAUAGAUGUUGAAUUAUACAAACGCCAAAUUAGGAUGUCCAGAAAAUGGUUUGAAGGAAAGCAGAGAGCAGAACUGUCUGGAGACAACGGCCAUCCCCAUGCUGAAAGCUUCAUAGCUCUUCCAUGUCCUUCGGUGACAGGCUGCUGAUGGAUAUGCCUCUGAACUUUCACCUUUGCCAUCUCGGGUUGAACUCAGGCUUGUUUCUGUACUUCAAGCCUGAAGCCUCCUGUUGGGAGCAGGAGUGAUCUGAUCGGGGAGCCCUGCUUGGUCUCGAUGGGCCCUCUCUCAUGCUAACCAGCAGGGCGAGCCACCUCCAAUGAUCAGGGUCGAUCUCGGGAGAGGGCUGCCUGGGGUCAAUGUCAGGGUCACGGGUCAGGGCGUAGCUGCUGGCUAAUAGAGUGUAAGCUAACACUGUUGUCAAAUUGCUGGGCUAAACUACAAUGCCUGCCUCCUGCUGAUGACCUUGCCCUGAGGGAGGGGGCUAUUGGCUUUAUUGGAAACCUGCCAGUCUCGGAGGUGAUGGAAGUGGCUGAUCACACUAAAGACUGUUUGAUUGUUGACGUAGAGCCAGUUCUGUGGUCGGGUCCCCAACCGGAAGGCCCGCGGAGCUGCUUAUUGACGGCUGAGUUUUCCGCACGUGAUGGAUUUCUCCUCUGUUUCCCACGCCGCUGGUUACUGUCCAGUCGUGGAGGCGGGCUUCGGUGGCCCAUGGACACGGGUUUUUCUGGCACCGAGGAACGCAAGAGGCGAUGCUCUCACUGACUGCCGGGUUGACACCACCUUCUUAUUGCCAGCUGAAUGGGACUGACUUGUUCUUGAAAGGAAACCAAUCCACAAUGAAUUGAAAAUAGAUGUAAGAGGUCCUCCGAUUCCAAGGCAUUUUGGUGAGCAUGAAAGAAGGCAACGAGUGUGUGUCCGGAAGAGAUUAGUAUUCUGGCCAUCAUUAUCUCAGCCUCAAACGGCCAACCUUUCCCAUGCAGGAAGAAGACAUUAGAUUUCUUUAUUUGCCGGGAGAUAUAACCAGCCUAGUCGUGCCAUGAAAUAUUUGAAGGGAAGGUUACUGAAAACUUAGAAUUCCAAAAUUUCCCAGCAUAGUCUGAAUUCAUAAGGGACAAGUCAAGGAGGUAGAGAGCAAAGUAGAGAGAUAGAAAACGAUCUUUAUAAAAAAAAAAAGUAUGGAUUGUGGAGGAUUACCAGCUAAUUAAACCUAAUAGCCUGCUAAGGUAGACAGUAAAUGACUAAAGGCAUAAAUAGGAGAAGAGCUUAUUGAAACUACAAGCGUAUUCUCCUCUUGUGCUAUGGCUUGGGAAGACGUGUAUAGAAAUGGUACCCCUGGUCUUUAAGUCGCUAACUUAAUAGAGAUGGUGGAGCAUCUGUGGGGAGCUCCGCAAGUGAACUUGAAGGGUUUUUCCCAGGGAAGAAUUGACUGAGGGUGAUUUAUCAUUGACCUUCCAGUCUAUUAGAUGACAGGGUAAGUGAUGUGUCGUUAAGCCAUGUCAAUAUGGUGUGAUGGCAUUUAGUGAGAUUUUGGCUUGGCUCCUGUUACUAUUUCCACCUCUUUAAGCCUCAGUUUCCUUCUUUGUUAAACAGGAUCAUGCCAUACAUCUUGCAUAGUUACCAUGAAGAUUGAUUCAGGUGCAGAACUAUGAGUAGAGUACUUGACACAAAGUUCACAGCAAUACACAUUGAUUUCCUUUUCCUAAACUGUGGCAUGAGCUUUCUGACAGGCAUUAAUAAAUACGGGGUCUUAGACAAUAUACUUCCUCUUUGUGAGCAAGUAAAACAAUCACAUAUACAAAGUUCAUGCAAACUCCACCUGACCACAGGAGGAUGACCUAGAUCAGUGUUAGCAAACUAGAGCCCACCACCUACUUUUAUAAAUAAAGUUUUACUGGAACACAUCCAUGCUCAUUCAUUUACAUUGUCCAUGGCUGUUUCUGUGCUACAAUAACAGAGUGUGACAGAGACAGUGUGGCCCAUCAAGCCUAAAAUAUUUACUCUCUGCCCCUUUCCAGAAAUGUUUCUUGGCUCCUAACCUAUUGCAAUGGAACACACUUUCUUUUGUUUAAAAACAAAAUGUUAUGUGGAAAUCCAAUAUGCAAAGCAGGUUCAAGCAGCAAAUAUUUUCCAGGGACUGGACUUCCCUGUUUAGCACAAACACUUUAUUGUUGGUAGAACUAUGAAGCGAUAUUAGUGGUUCCAUGGAGCGGUUGGAAAAUUAUGGACUGAAUAAUCUCUGGAUAUUUCUUUAAGGUCCUGGAAACUCAGUGAUUUCUUAGGAGAUUAGAAAAUGGCAAAGAGAAUAUGUCCAUGCCUAGCAAGUCCUGGGAUCUUUCUUU
Myotis davidii is the source of this 2649-nucleotide long non-coding RNA. RefSeq lists it as uncharacterized. The record is from RefSeq and is a predicted model, not a curated record. The transcript is spliced from 3 exons. NCBI's taxonomy places the organism in Eukaryota, Metazoa, Chordata, Mammalia, Chiroptera, Vespertilionidae.